Molecule: ribosomal RNA, 771 nt
Filed under: Triticum aestivum (bread wheat)
Lineage: Eukaryota; Viridiplantae; Streptophyta; Magnoliopsida; Poales; Poaceae
Description: partial small subunit ribosomal RNA
Source: RNAcentral
CAAGUGCUCAGCUCAUCCCCGCCAAAUAUUUCGUUCAGGCGGGAUUUGAUCGGCACCCGACUUAUGUCAUGGAAUAAUCUAUUGUCCCGUCUGGAUUCGAUUAUCCUGACACAAGGUCGUGAUGUGUUUCGCUGGAACCUUACUACAUCGGGGUCUUUCACAGUAGACUCUAUGUAUCGUGCACUCACGCAUUCUGAGGUACCAGUGAAUAAUAACAAAAAAAAUUGGAAAGCGAAGGUACCACUUAAAGUCAAAAUAUUCAUGUGGUAUCUCCGUAGGGGAGUUGUGCUAACAAAAGACAACCUUGCACGACGCAACUGGUCGGGAAGUAAGAAGUGUUGUUUUUGUACUCACGACAAGACAAUUAAACACCUCUUUUUUCACUGUAAGUUUGUGCGUUCUACGUGGUCAGCCAUCCAAAUAGCCUCAAAUUUGUAUCCGUCCACAAGUGUUGUCAAUAUUUUUGGUCAUUGGCUGGACGGUAUUUCAAAUAGGUACAAAACACUAAUAAGGGUGGGAGCGUAUGCCUUACUAUGGUCGCUUUGGCUAUGUAGAAAUGAUGUUGUUUUUAAUGACAAAAUUGUUUCUCCUUUGCAGGUUAUUUUCCGUUGUACGCACUCGCUUCGUACGUGGUGUUCGCUACAACAAACGGAGUACCAAUCGUUGUUCAAGGCGGUGUGUACGCUGUUGGAGCAGGUGGCUACGGAGGUUUUUACCCAACGUGGAUGGCAGCAUAAUCUCCGGCUCGGUCCACCAUCUUUUUCGACAUAG